GGGAAAAGGAGGUCUCCCAGAGAAGAGAGGAGAGGCCUGACUGCAGGAGCGGCUUCUGACGCUGCUGAGGGAUGAAGUAUUCCCCGGAUAUCGAGGUCCCACACCUGACUUAAUCGGCUGCAUCCAGUGAGGACAGGUGCAGCUCUGGGUCUGUGAUGAUGAAGACCAAGGGGAAAUCACAAGGUUGGAGGACCUGCUGCCAGAUUCCUGUGAUGUGGAGGCUUCCUGGGACCCAUCAGCAGAGGAAAUCUCCGUGGGCUCAUUCCCUGCACCAGACAUUGCCCUAAAAACAGGAGGUGCCUGGCUGGUGAGCAGAGCUGAGGAGCAGGCUCCUAAGGAAGGGCUUGCAAAUCUGGAGCCACCAUGGGCUUCCCAAGGGGGUUUGGGUGAGAUGGACUCCCUGAGCCCUGUGAAGCACCAAUGGCACAAGGGUCAGGAGAAGCCCCAAAAGUGGAAGGAGAAUGUAGCAGUGGACCAGGUCCCAUCUCCAGUUGCUUGUGAGAAUGAAGAAGGGAAAGAAGCCAGAAAAAGACCUGGGUUCAGGGAAGAUUUUCUGAUGCUGAGAGACCUGAAGAGGCAUAAAGAAAAGGUCCUUUGCAUGCAGUCUCUCUCUUUGGUGGAAGGCAGUGGGGAUGGCCUUGGAGGGAACCUGGAGCUCACCACCAAGCCCAGGGGGAGAGCCCACCCCUGCCCUCAGUGCAGCAAAAGCUUUAACUGCCCCUCACUCCUGGCUCUGCAUGAGAUAAGGCACACUGGGGAGAAGCCCCACAUAUGCACCACGUGUGGGAAGAGCUUCACCUACCCCUCCUGCCUUGCCCGGCGCCAGCACAUCCAAUGGCUUGAUGUGGCACCAGUGCAUCCACUACACAGUGGAGAAGCCACAUCAGUGCUCUGAAUGUGGGAAGAGGUUCACCCAGUCCUCCAGGCUGGCUGAGCACAAGCCACAUAACUGCUUAGUGUGUGGGAAAAGCUUUAGCUAUGCCUCCAGCCUGACCCAGCACCAAAGCAUUUACCAUGCAGAGGAGAAGCCCCAUCACUGCAUUGAGUGUGGGAAGAGCUUCAGCUGCUUUUCCCAUGUGGCCGAGCACCAGCUUAUCCACACAGGGAAGAAGCCACAUGGGUGCUCUGUGUGUGGGAAGAGCUUCACCUACUCCUCCAACCUGACCCAGCACCAGCACAUCCACACAAGGGAGAAGCCACCUCAUUGUUCUGAGUGUGGAAGGAGCUUCACCCAUUCCAGAAACCUGUCCCGGCAUCAGUGCAUCCACAUCCAGAAGCAUCCCUAAUUCUGCCAGCAGUGCAGGAAGGGCUUGGUGCUGUCUCCCUGCUCAGCACCCACCAGUGGCUGCAUUUUGGCAAGCAUCUUCAGACUGCAGAAGGAGUUCCUCCAGGCUUUAUCCAUUGUAGGGCACAGCAGAAACCCAGAGGCCUGGCCCCCAAGGUUCAAUUGUGGGGAGGGGUUAAGAGGAAAUACCUCAGACAAGGCCAGCCCAGGUGUUGGGGGAGGAGAUAAGGAGGAAAUGAUUUUUUUGUAUCAGCCUUGGAUCCUGUGCAUUUCCCAUCAAUCUCUAAAAGCAGUCAGUGCUCCCUGGGGAAGAAGUGCCUUCAUGAUAGGGUGUUCUGCCCAAGACAACUGGCUUCAAAUGACUCCCAGGGAUUGUCCUUUGCCUCCCAGCUUUCUCUUCACUCCUGGUCCCAAUGUUGUGUGAGGCUCUUGAGUAGCAGGAAGGAGGACAUUCGUGGCUGGGAAAGUAUUCACUACCCUCCACCCUGACCUUACCUUUCCUCACCACAAUAUCAUCCCUAUCCCAGGUCUCCCCAUGCCCAGUGGGGUCUGCAAGUAGUUGCUACUACCACCCCCUGAGCCUUUCUGGCUUGAUUUGCUUUUCAGCCCCUCCAGAACUCUGCAGCACUGGGUGCCUGCUGCUCCCUUCCCCUCAUGUUAUUCUCUCUAAUACAUUCACUGAUACUAUAGCACCAGAACUGAAGAUGACACCCCUGUGGUUGGUCUCUGUCCUUUCCUGAGCUGUGCAAUUGGAACAGACAAGGGCCCACAACACUUUCCAGGGCAGAUGUCUCUGUGACUUCCCAGCCCUUCUCUUUCCAGACCAUUGGAGCUUGUUCUAAUCCUUGGGAAUAGGAAUUGUUCUGAUUCGAGGCCUCACUCCCCUGUUCUACUGUGCAGCAAGGUCCCUGCCCUUCUGAAGGAACCACUGAGCAGGAGGCAGUAGAGUCCCUUUUCUGUGUGCAGUUAGGUACCA
Molecule: long non-coding RNA, 2261 nt
Organism: Alligator sinensis (Chinese alligator)
Lineage: Eukaryota; Metazoa; Chordata; Crocodylia; Alligatoridae
Exons: 4
Source: RefSeq, a predicted model, not a curated record